CUUCUAUGCUCGCUUCGAAGCAAAUAACACUGAAACAUACAUGAGAGCACCAGCUGUACCGGAAGACUGUGUGAUCACGCUCUCUGCAGCCGAUCUCCCAUUCUCCCCAGUCCGAGAAAACACAGAGAGAAAGAUGGUGCAUUGGAGACUGAUGUGUUCCUGUCCUGUCUUUCCACAAUACUAUUGCAGAUCAACAUAAAAGCCGUAAAGACAGCUGUGGUGUCGCUCUUCAUUUCUUGGUUCUCCUGUGGUGCAUAUAAGACCCGCUACAUUUAGGCAGGUCAACAUUCACAAGGCCUCAGGGCCAGACGGAUUACCAGAACGUGUACUGCGAGCAUGCGCUGACCAACUAGCAAGUAUCUUCACUGACAUUUUCAACCUCUCCCUGUCUGAGUCUGUAAUACCAACAUGUUUUAAGCAGACCACCAUAGUCCCUGUGCACAAGAACACUAAGGUAACCUGCCUAAAUGACUACCGACCCGUAGCACUCACGUCUGUAGCCAGGAAGUGCAUUGAAAGGCUGGUCAUGGCUCAUAUUAACACCAUCAUCCCA
RNAcentral lists this long non-coding RNA (553 nucleotides) under Salmo salar (Atlantic salmon). RNAcentral's name for it is "lncRNA (ENSSSAG00000095852.1, ENSSSAG00075037767.1)". Lineage: Eukaryota; Metazoa; Chordata; Actinopteri; Salmoniformes; Salmonidae. The record is from RNAcentral.